RNAcentral lists this ribosomal RNA (497 nucleotides) under uncultured bacterium. RNAcentral describes it as "partial 16S ribosomal RNA". It matches the Rfam family "Bacterial small subunit ribosomal RNA", at positions 28 to 507 of the family's 1533-position model. The record is from RNAcentral.
GAUGAACGCUGGCGGCGUGCCUAAUACAUGCAAGUCGAGCGAACGGACGAGAAGCUUGCUUUUCUGAUGUUAGCGGCGGACGGGUGAGUAACACGUGGAUAACCUACCUAUAAGACUGGGAUAACUUCGGGAAACCGGAGCUAAUACCGGAUAAUAUUUUGAACCGCAUGGUUCAAAAGUGAAAGACGGUCUUGCUGUCACUUAUAGAUGGAUCCGCGCUGCAUUAGCUAGUUGGUAAGGUAACGGUUUACCAAGGCAACGAUGCAUAGCCGACCUGAGAGGGUGAUCGGCCACACUGGAACUUAGACACGGUCCAGACUCCUACGGGAGGCAGCAGUAGGCAAUCUUCCACAAUGGGCGAAAGCCUGACGGAGCAACGCCGCGUGAGUGAUGAAGGUCUUCGGAUCGUAAAACUCUGUUAUUAGUGAAAAACAUAUUUGUAAAUAACUGUGCACAUCUUGACGGUACCUAAUCAGAAAGCCACGGCUAACUACGUG